Molecule: small nuclear RNA, 353 nt
Filed under: Jaculus jaculus (lesser Egyptian jerboa)
Lineage: Eukaryota; Metazoa; Chordata; Mammalia; Rodentia; Dipodidae
Description: 7SK RNA (ENSJJAG00000004403.1)
Rfam family: 7SK RNA
About the family: 7SK was discovered as an abundant small nuclear RNA in the mid-70s but a possible function has only recently been suggested.
Source: Rfam by way of RNAcentral
GGAUGGGAGGGCAGUCUGGCCAUGACAUCUGUCACCAUUUUUAUAGUCAGGGUUGAUUCUGCUGAUCUGACUGGCUAGGUGGGUGUCUCCUUCGUCCCCCACCACUCCAUGCGCAUCCCUUCCAAAGCUGCCUGCUCUGUAGGACCACCUUCCCUGAAUAGAGGAGGACCAGUCUUUAGCCAAGAGUAUACAAGUAGCUGCAGCCCCCUGCUAGAACCUCCAAGCAACCACUCACUAUGUGCAUGUAUGAAGAUUGCCCAUGGAAAUAUUUUCAAAUAGGCUAAUAGGAUGUUGGGGGGAAUCAAAAGCUCAUUUAGAUUUUUAGUUGGCAUGAGUUCAGUUUGGCUAACUGA